UACGGGAGUGGCAAGCGUUAUCCGGAAUUAUUGGGCGUAAAGCGUCCGCAGGCGGUCUUGUAAGUCUGUUGUUAAAGCGUGGAGCUUAACUCCAUUUCAGCAAUGGAAACUGUAAGACUAGAGUGUGGUAGGGGCAGAGGGAAUUCCCGGUGUAGCGGUGAAAUGCGUAGAUAUCGGGAAGAACACCAGUGGCGAAGGCGCUCUGCUGGGCCAUAACUGACGCUCAUGGACGAAAGCCAGGGGAGCGAAAGGGAUUAGAUGCCCCUGUAGUCCUGGCCGUAAACGAUGAACACUAGGUGUCGGGGGAAUCGACCCCCUCGGUGUCGUAGCCAACGCGUUAAGUGUUCCGCCUGGGGAGUACGCACGCAAGUGUGAAACUCAAAGGAAUUGACGGGGGCCCGCACAAGCGGUGGAGUAUGUGGUUUAAUUCGAUGCAACGCGAAGAACCUUACCAGGGUUUGACAUCCUGCGAAUCUUUUGGAAACGAGAGAGUGCCUUCGGGAACGCAGUGACAGGUGGUGCAUGGCUGUCGUCAGCUCGUGUCGUGAGAUGUUGGGUUAAGUCCCGCAACGAGCGCAACCCACGUCGUUAGUUGCCAGCAUUUAGUUGGGCACUCUAGCGAGACCGCCGGUGAUAAACCGGAGGAAGGUGUGGAUGACGUCAAGUCAUCAUGCCCCUUACAUCCUGGGCUACACACGUACUACAAUGCUACGGACAAAGGGCAGCAAACUCGCGAGAGCUAGCAAAUCCCAUAAACCGUGGCUCAGUUCAGAUCGUAGGCUGCAACUCGCCUACGUGAAGGAGGAAUCGCUAGUAAUCGCAGGUCAGCAUACUGCGGUGAAUACGUUCCCGGGCCU
This 857-nucleotide ribosomal RNA is filed under the name uncultured bacterium. Its description in RNAcentral is "SSU rRNA". It matches the Rfam family "Bacterial small subunit ribosomal RNA", at positions 524 to 1381 of the family's 1533-position model. The record is from RNAcentral.